GCAAGUCGAGCGAGACGGUUGUGAUUGAUCCUUCGGGUGAUAGAUCAACUAGAAAGCGGCGGACGGGUGAGUAACGCGUGGGUAACCUGCCCUACACACAAGGAUAGCCAUUGGAAACGAUGAUUAAUACUUGAUAACACAUUGAAGUCGCAUGGCUUUAAUGUCAAAGAUUUAUCGGUGUAGGAUGGACCCGCGUCUGAUUAGCUAGUUGGUAAGGUAACGGCUUACCAAGGCGACGAUCAGUAGCUGGUCUGAGAGGAUGGAC
RNAcentral lists this ribosomal RNA (265 nucleotides) under uncultured bacterium. Its description in RNAcentral is "partial 16S ribosomal RNA". It matches the Rfam family "Bacterial small subunit ribosomal RNA", at positions 57 to 305 of the family's 1533-position model. The record is from RNAcentral.